Molecule: long non-coding RNA, 713 nt
Filed under: Drosophila guanche
Lineage: Eukaryota; Metazoa; Arthropoda; Insecta; Diptera; Drosophilidae
Source: RNAcentral
UGUGCACUCCCUCUCACCGUUGCUCCGUCUCUCCUAACGGUUGUUGCCCUUAUCCGAUCUCGCCGCGUUAAUCCCAGAGUGCCGGUCUGUGUUUUGUUGCCUCGCAUACAUCGAUUCUUUUGGUUUAAACUAAUUUGUUAUAAUUGUGCUGGGUUUUGUCGUUUGAACCAAUCCUUCCCCCUACAUACUUCUUAAAUGCUUAUUUUAUUGUGGGAAAGUGGAAAGUGAGGAAUGUGAAUUCUAUCUGGUUAUACUAGCACUACUUGACGACCCGCGUUUAUUUGCCUUAUUUUCCCGCCUUCAUAGACUGGUGAGUGUGUCCUUUGGAAGUGUGCCAGUGUGUUUUAACCCUCCCUUUUCCAGCUUGUUUCGCCGCUUACUGCCGUUGUGAAGUUCAUCUGUGAAUCCUUGUGUGUACGCGUGCCAGGAAGUGGACCUGCGGAUCGACACUUCUCCUCAUCUGGCUGCUGUUCGGUUCCCCCCUGGCCUGGUAAGUUUUGGAUAUAGUGGACGCCUCCUUACUAAUACUUUAUCUUCCAGAUCGCCUCUGUGCCCCAGUUCUGCCUGUCGGCCGUGAAUCCGCUAGCGAUCGCCGGAAUUAUUGUCCCUUCGCCCGGGUUCGGAUUCACGGUGCUUUACCACCCACGCCGGCUGCGCCUCUGAUCCAGAUCGGUUGGAAGUCCCCCCACACAGUGUCCCGGACCCGAGGAUCG